CAGAGGGUCCCCCCCCCACCCGCCUCUUCUUCAAGGAGGCAUUGUGGGUUUGUGGGUUUUUUCCCCCCCACUAGGAAAGGAAGUGUCUACGUGGCCUGCGGAAAUAGGAUAGGCGGAAAUGAGCUAAGGUUCCCGCGAGUGGGGAAGAGCGAGGUCAAAUCUAGGGCCACGCCCCCGAGCCUGUUGCGCAACUCUCGGAGCAGGAAUGAAAAAGGCGCAAUGGAGGUUUUGAUAGAUGAGGACUGACUUUGACCAGUGUUUGCUGAUAUCUGUACUCCAAGCUAUGCCUUGAGAUGCUGCUUUGAACCAUUUUUCCAGAGGUUAUCACUCUACUGCAGAAGAAAUGUGGUUAACAAACAAGAGUGAGGGAGAACAACAUCUGAAGCCCAGCAACUCUGAGGAGCCUAAUGAAGAUCAAGAGGAAACCCA
Molecule: long non-coding RNA, 429 nt
Organism: Castor canadensis (American beaver)
Lineage: Eukaryota; Metazoa; Chordata; Mammalia; Rodentia; Castoridae
Source: RefSeq, a predicted model, not a curated record